RNAcentral lists this non-coding RNA (158 nucleotides) under Pseudobacillus badius. RNAcentral's name for it is "Bacillus badius SAM-I sequence". It matches the Rfam family "SAM riboswitch aptamer (S box leader)". Rfam says of the family: The SAM riboswitch is found upstream of a number of genes which code for proteins involved in methionine or cysteine biosynthesis in Gram-positive bacteria. The record is from RNAcentral. Lineage: Bacteria; Bacillati; Bacillota; Bacilli; Caryophanales; Bacillaceae.
CUCUUAUCCUGAGCUGGCGGAGGGGACAGGCCCGAUGAAGCCCGGCAACCUGCUUGAUUGACUGUCAGUUAUCCUGAUUGUCAGUACUUAUAAAUAUAAGUGGUAUUCAAGACAAAGGUGCUAACCUGCAGCAAGGGCAAAACCUUGAACGAUAAGAG